Molecule: ribosomal RNA, 462 nt
Filed under: uncultured bacterium
Lineage: Bacteria
Description: partial 16S ribosomal RNA
Rfam family: Bacterial small subunit ribosomal RNA
Source: RNAcentral
GACGAACGCUGGCGGCGUGCUUAACGCAUGCAAGUCGAACGGAAAGGCCCUUCGGGGUACUCGAGUGGCGAACGGGUGAGUAACACGUGGGUGAUCUGCCCUGCACUUUGGGAUAAGCCUGGGAAACUGGGUCUAAUACCGAAUAGGACCACGCGCUUCAUGGUGUGUGGUGGAAAGCUUUUGCGGUGUGGGAUGGGCCCGCGGCCUAUCAGCUUGUUGGUGGGGUAAUGGCCUACCAAGGCGACGACGGGUAGCCGGCCUGAGAGGGUGACCGGCCACACUGGGACUGAGAUACGGCCCAGACUCCUACGGGAGGCAGCAGUGGGGAAUAUUGCACAAUGGGCGCAAGCCUGAUGCAGCGACGCCGCGUGAGGGAUGACGGCCUUCGGGUUGUAAACCUCUUCCACCAGGGACGAAGCGUAAGUGACGGUACCUGGAGAAGAAGCACCGGCCAACUACGUG